Molecule: ribosomal RNA, 517 nt
Filed under: uncultured chicken cecal bacterium
Lineage: Bacteria
Description: bacterial SSU rRNA
Rfam family: Bacterial small subunit ribosomal RNA
Source: RNAcentral
AGAGUUUGAUCCUGGCUCAGGAUGAACGCUGGCGGCGUGCUUAACACAUGCAAGUCGAACGGGGAACCCCUGAUAGAGGAUUCGUCCAAUUGAUGGGAAUUCCUAGUGGCGGACGGGUGAGUAACGCGUGAGUAACCUGCCUUGGAGUGGGGAAUAACACAGUGAAAAUUGUGCUAAUACCGCAUAAUGCAUUUGGGCUGCAUGGCUCUGAAUGCCAAAGAUUUAUCGCUCUGAGAUGGACUCGCGUCUGAUUAGCUAGUUGGCGGGGUAACGGCCCACCAAGGCGACGAUCAGUAGCCGGACUGAGAGGUUGGCCGGCCACAUUGGGACUGAGACACGGCCCAGACUCCUACGGGAGGCAGCAGUGGGGAAUAUUGGGCAAUGGGCGCAAGCCUGACCCAGCAACGCCGCGUGAAGGAAGAAGGCUUUCGGGUUGUAAACUUCUUUUCUCAGGGACGAAGAAAAUGACGGUACCUGAGGAAUAAGCCACGGCUAACUACGUGCCAGCAGCCGCGGU